AUAUUUACCUGGCAGGGGAGAUACCACGAUCAGGAAGGUGGUUUUCCCAGAGUGAGGAUUAUCCAUUGCACUCCAAAUGUGCUGAUUUCUGUCACUUCACCAUCACCACCCCCAAAACAAACAAUCAAAACAACACUUCAGAGCUGAAAAAGAUUUUAUAGAGGCAGUCUUGUGAAAACUUCCC
This 184-nucleotide small nuclear RNA is filed under the name Dasypus novemcinctus (nine-banded armadillo). RNAcentral describes it as "U1 spliceosomal RNA (ENSDNOG00000029907.1)". It matches the Rfam family "U1 spliceosomal RNA". From Rfam's summary of the family: U1 is a small nuclear RNA (snRNA) component of the spliceosome (involved in pre-mRNA splicing). Its 5' end forms complementary base pairs with the 5' splice junction, thus defining the 5' donor site of an intron. Lineage: Eukaryota; Metazoa; Chordata; Mammalia; Cingulata; Dasypodidae. The record is from RNAcentral.